Molecule: long non-coding RNA, 1475 nt
Filed under: Medicago truncatula (barrel medic)
Lineage: Eukaryota; Viridiplantae; Streptophyta; Magnoliopsida; Fabales; Fabaceae
Description: long non-coding RNA (MTRU_LNC005804)
Source: RNAcentral
CUCAAAAGACUUGGAAAGAAGAGAAUGUUUUUGAGAACAUUUUUCACUUGGAAUAACACAUUUUUUUGCAACCUUGUGCAUCAAGCAACAAAGCAAAUGCACAUGCGUUGUUUUGGAACGUACAAACAACAGUUGUAUGUUUAUGUAUAUUUCAAGUGAGCUUCAAAGACUCCAACCAUCUAUAAAUAUAGCAACAUAUCAAGGCAAUUGGCAAGAGCUUACAAUACAAAAGAAUUCAAUCUCUCUCUCACGUGAAUAUUUUUCAUAAUUCAUAUUCAAUGUCUUUCAAUAUGAAUAUUUUUUUCUGGUCCCUUUUUUACUUUAUUUAUUUCAGUCAUAUAUUCCAGAAUUCUCUAGUCCUUUUAUUUACUUUAUUUUAAAUUUUUACUUUAUUUUAAAUAUUCAAUCUAGAAUUCUCUGAUCCUUUUAUUUUUAAUUAACAAAUAUUUUUAUUUGUUUAACUCUUACCAAGAACUUUCUUGAGUAUAUAAACUUAUUUAAGUUUUAGGAAUAAUUUUUAAAAGGGUCACAAUUCAAACCCCCCUUUCCACUAUCACCUUCAUCAUUGAUAUUUCCACCUGCUCCAAAGACACAAUCAAAUAAUCCAGAACUUCUUGGUGGUUCUAUUUUUGGUAGUCAUAUGGAGAAUUUGUUGAUGAGUCAUGGUGGUAAUUCACCAACAAAAUCACAAUCACAACAACAUAUACAAUCAAAGUUCUAACAUCAAAGUCCCAAUUUUUGCUCUAAAGUUUCAUCCAGUAUUUGUUACCUAAAUACUCAAAUUAAGAGUGUCAAUUUAAAAUUACCUUGAACUUAAUAACUAAGAGAUUUUUUUUGGUGGUGUCCGGAAUUUGAACCCUAGACAUUGCAUAUAUUAGGCAUUAUCCCUACCAACUGAGUUAAACUCAUGGAGAUACUUAAUAAUUAAGGGCUUAAAUAUGCAAUUCGUCUUUGUAAUUUAGGCGCGUUUUGAUUUUCAUCCUUGUAAAAAAAAAAAAUUAAAAACAUCCCUGCAAAAUUUUUCCACGUGGCAGUCUACGUCAUUAAAAAAAUUUAAUUUUAUGAAGAAAAAAAUUGAAAAUUAGUUUUUUCUUUUUUUUUUUUAAAUCUGAAAAUAAAUGUUUGAAAAAUAAAAUUAAAAAUUAUAUAAUCUCAAAAUUUUUGAAAAUAUAAUUUUCAGCAUUUUCAAAAAAAAAUGUAAUAUAUAAUUUUGAAAAAUUUAAUUUUCAGUUUUUUUCAAAUUUAAAUUUUAUUUCAGAUUUUUCUUAUUUAAAAAUAGAAUUUUAAAAAAAAAUAUUUUUUUAAUUAUGUAGUAUGCCACGUGGCAAAAGUUGCACAGUCAAUAAAUCAUAAUUGAAGUGGCCAAAAUCGUAAAUCGCAAAUCGCAAACCUGAAGAAAGAGAGUGAAGCAAGAAACGGCAACACCAGAAUCGCAAAUCGCAAGCAGGAAGAGAAGUAAGUAAUUGAUUUCCUGU